Long non-coding RNA from Oryzias sinensis (Chinese medaka), 2090 nucleotides. The record is from Ensembl. Lineage: Eukaryota; Metazoa; Chordata; Actinopteri; Beloniformes; Adrianichthyidae.
AUGGGCCCCUCCGCCUUCGCCGGAGACACUGAGAACACGGACGACGUCCCUGAGACCGACAGGAGGCGGCUCGCAGCUCACCACCGUCACCUGGGUGCACUUCCCGUACAGGUCCACCACCGCCCAGAGUCGAGGCGGCAGGCCGCUGGCGGCCGCGCCGCAGUCCUGCCCGUUCACCCAGAGGUGGAGCUCUCCCCGGGAGCUGCGCUGAAUGCCCACGCGGUCGCCCUCCGCCAGCUGGUCGAGGUCGCGGCCGUACUCCUCCAGGACGGAGCGGCCGUCACGGAGCACAGAGCAGCCCGACACGAUCCAGGAGCCACCCUUCAGGCCCGUGGCGCUGCUGGGGAAGUCCAGCGCGGCGGGGUCCAGAGCUGUCACCCCGAUCUCAAUGGAACCGCUCCAUGAGUUCACCUGCAGGGAGACGGAGAAAAGAUGGAGGCUUCCACUACAAAAAAAAGAAAAUCCUACUUCAUGCAGUUUUAGGUUUAAGAAGCAUCACACAAGAUACAGACAUUUAAUGGCUUUUAAGGCAGUUUUUCAAUAAAGUGGUAGGGGUAACAAAGAGUGAAGCCAAGGUUUUGGGCAGCUUUUUUACUUUCUUUUGGCCUGAACUGCUGAUAUUCUUUCAGGCGAGGCUGAUAUAGAAAACAACAGGGACAUUUUCUGUUUGUUUUUUUUUAGAUAAAAAUAGAGCAGAUCUGCAUCUAAACGAGCUCCAGAUUGUUUUGUAAAUGAACAAUUUUACAAAAUAAUGACAGGAAAUGUUUUUUUUAUCCUUCAAAUGUUCACAUCAACUCGAUGUCUGUAAAAAAAUGAAAAAAAAUUAAAGUUUGACACUAUGACAGACGCCUUUCUCUCAUUUUUUUUUGCACGCUUCACCGAAGCUGCUUCUGUUCCCCCCAAAAAAAUGAAGAAAGUAAUAUUUACUGAAAUUGCAAAACAUUUGCGCUUUAAAUGAAUUAUAAAAAUAUCCAUCAGUAGUAAGAUGGCCUGCAAACAUUACGCGUUUUAGGUUUAAUUGCAGACAUUUUAAAGGCUUUCUUUAGCAAGGGAGGAGGUGUGUGAUGAAGCUCCAACAGUAUAGAGACAUAAUAUUUAAAAAUGAUGGGGCUGCAAUCGGUGAUAAAGCUUGUGUAAAACUGCAGCGGGAUGAAAGCAAGUUCUAAUUCUUUUUUUAAAAGAGCUUUGCUGUUAUUUUUAGUCUGCAGUGCAUCUUCAUACUCAGGAGGAGCAUCUUUGAAGACAAAACACUUAAUAAAUGACAGAAAAUGACAGGCAGUCAAGCACAUUAAGUCCUUGCAGUUCUGUACUUAUAUAAAAAAAAAAGGAGCCAGUCACAAAAGCUGAAACAUCAAAUAUUGAAGGUGACUGAUCGUGACGUUACUCUGAUUGUAAGGUCUCCUGACGCUUUGUAAGAAAAAGGACUGGAUGUCACACGAGUGAAUCACGUUUUCCCCGUAACUGUGCUCUUCUAUUUGAGCAGAGUCAGCUAAAGGUGCAGCAAACAGAGACAGAUAAAAAGCCAAGCAGAAAACAACACACACAGAUGAGAAAAAUCAUCUUUACCCCUUACCUUCACCACAACUGAGAGCUCCCCGUUUACACUCUGUCCCACUAGCUUACAGCCUUUCACCCCCCCCCCCCCCCCCACACCACACACACACACACAACAGAAAUAUUGAAGCAAUAAUCCAGAUGUACAGUUUGGAGUCUGAGACCAGCCGAGACGAGAUAAAACAAAGACGUUCUUGGAUCUAGUCGUCUGCAAAAGGGCGCAUCGGAAUGGAGCGGCCCCACCCCUGAUUUCUACAUCACAAAUACGAGCUUUUAUAAAACCACUUUUCUUUGUCUGCUCCCGAUUCACAACGAUCUGAAUAAAGAAAGACUAGACUAAGCUUCAUUUUCUUUAUCUAUGUCCUCCAGCAUCAGAAAAAUGACACAAGAACAUGUUAAAACCUCAAAAAAACAACAUGAUUUGGAUGAUCAGGGUGGGUCUGUGGAGCCCCGUUGGCGUAUGCAGAGGGAACUCCUGGCAGCCUGCAGAUAAAGCAGUCAAACCAGGAGCUUCUAGCAGGCAACAUUCAGGGGGG